ACGAGGGGAGCUAGCGUUAUUCGGAAUUACUGGGCGUAAAGCGCACGUAGGCGGCUUUGUAAGUUAGAGGUGAAAGCCCGGGGCUCAACUCCGGAAUUGCCUUUAAGACUGCAUCGCUUGAAUCCAGGAGAGGUAAGUGGAAUUCCGAGUGUAGAGGUGAAAUUCGUAGAUAUUCGGAAGAACACCAGUGGCGAAGGCGACUUACUGGACACAUAUUGACGCUGAGGUGCGAAAGCGUGGGGAGCAAACAGGA
This 253-nucleotide ribosomal RNA is filed under the name uncultured prokaryote. RNAcentral's name for it is "partial 16S ribosomal RNA". It matches the Rfam family "Bacterial small subunit ribosomal RNA", at positions 525 to 777 of the family's 1533-position model. The record is from RNAcentral.